RNAcentral lists this long non-coding RNA (415 nucleotides) under Bos taurus (domestic cattle). RNAcentral's name for it is "long non-coding RNA NONBTAT025493". Lineage: Eukaryota; Metazoa; Chordata; Mammalia; Artiodactyla; Bovidae. The record is from RNAcentral.
GGUUUUUGGAAGAUAUAAGGUUUAUGUAAAAAAAGAGUAUGAAUCAAAAACCAGUGGUUUAGAACAGAUAACACAGUUUUUGGUGAAGUUUCUGUGAUAUCUGCCUUUUAUCUCUGAAACAAAGUGUUAAGUUGAUGCGUAGAACUUAGAGAAAGUAGUUUUCUUAAGGUUUUUCCCAACUGUAACAGCUUGUCAAAUUCUUAUAUGAUUAUAUAAUCCUAAAAAUAAAAACUGCCAAGAUUCUAUGAAUGUAUAUGCAAAGGAGUCCAUGUAAUUAGUUAUAAACAGUAGUUUUAACGAUUUGUGAUGAAGCACAGAAGAAGAUAAAAAUAACAAUGUAUAGUGAAAAUACACACCUAACAACCCACAAAUAAUUUUUUUUACUUACCCCCCAAAACAAAAAAGUCAAAUAUGC